CUGAAUAUAGGUUCAAAAUGCUUUCAUAUGCUUUAUUGGAGAAUCCAGAGGAUAAGCUUUUUGAGAUUCUUCUCUUACCUUUGCAAUCGGGACUGACUGCGUCUUGUGCUGCACAGGUAAAAGAAAAUGUCAUAUCAGGUUCUGUAAAGCUGAGCUGUUAAGAAGACAGAAAGCAGUUGAAAUAGUUUGUGCAUUGUCAGGAUCUUGUUUCUACAGUAUUCAAUUCUAGAUAUAGUUCACAGGAACUGUUCUAUUGAUACUAGUUUCUUCAAACUUUUCAGAAACUUGAAAGAAUUUGGAAUCUAAAUCACUAUCUGGAAAGCUAUUGCACCUGCAGUGGGGAGUUAAAUUACUUGCCUUGACGGUGCUUUGCUUACAGUCUUCGUCUCUGGUUGCUGCUGAGCUUCUUCAACUGGG
RNAcentral lists this long non-coding RNA (417 nucleotides) under Manihot esculenta (cassava). RNAcentral describes it as "long non-coding RNA (MESC_LNC000828)". Lineage: Eukaryota; Viridiplantae; Streptophyta; Magnoliopsida; Malpighiales; Euphorbiaceae. The record is from RNAcentral.